AUUGAACGCUGGCGGCAUGCCUUACAUAUGCAAGUCGAACGGCAGCGCGGGGCAACCUGGCGGCGAGUGGCGAACGGGUGAGUAAUAUAUCGGAACAUACCCUAGAGUGGGGGAUAACGUAGCGAAAGUUACGCUAAUACCGCAUACGCACUAAGGUGGAAAGUGGGGGAUUCGCAAGAACCUCAUGCUCAUGGAGUGGCCGAUAUCUGAUUAGCUAGUUGGUGAGGUAAAGGCUCACCAAGGCGACGAUCAGUAGCUGGUUUGAGAGAACGACCAGCCACACUGGAACUGAGACACGGUCCAGACUCCUACGGGAGGCAGCAGUGGGGAAUUUUGGACAAUGGGGGCGAACCCUGAUCCAGCAAUGCCGCGUGAGUGAAGAAGGCCUCGGUUGUAAGUACGUCUUUGUUCUAGGGAAGGAAACGGUAGAGUCUAU
This 436-nucleotide ribosomal RNA is filed under the name uncultured bacterium. Its description in RNAcentral is "bacterial SSU rRNA". It matches the Rfam family "Bacterial small subunit ribosomal RNA", at positions 30 to 464 of the family's 1533-position model. The record is from RNAcentral.